This 450-nucleotide ribosomal RNA is filed under the name uncultured bacterium. RNAcentral's name for it is "partial 16S ribosomal RNA". It matches the Rfam family "Bacterial small subunit ribosomal RNA", at positions 354 to 796 of the family's 1533-position model. The record is from RNAcentral.
GUGGGGAAUUUUGGUCAAUGGGCGCAAGCCUGAUCCAGCAAUGCCGCGUGCAGGAAGAAGGCCUUCGGGUUGUAAACUGCUUUUGUACGGAACGAAAAGGCUCUGGUUAAUACCUGGGGCUCAUGACGGUACCGUAAGAAUAAGCACCGGCUAACUACGUGCCAGCAGCCGCGGUAAUACGUAGGGUGCAAGCGUUAAUCGGAAUUACUGGGCGUAAAGCGUGCGCAGGCGGUUUUGUAAGACAGACGUGAAAUCCCCGGGCUCAACCUGGGAAUUGCGCUUGUGACUGCAGCGCUGGAGUGCGGCAGAGGGGGAUGGAAUUCCGCGUGUAGCAGUGAAAUGCGUAGAUAUGCGGAGGAACACCGAUGGCGAAGGCAAUCCCCUGGGCCUGCACUGACGCUCAUGCACGAAAGCGUGGGGAGCAAACAGGAUUAGAUACCCGGGUAGUCC